UGGGAGCGCCGCGGAUCUGUCAGGACAAUAGAGGGCACAAGAAGAGGAAGAAGAGAGUUCGACCCGAGCCGCCUGUCAUUCGCGCAGAAGAUACAAGGCACCUCCAUAUCCAAGGAAGCCAGACUCUCGUCCACAUCUCACUACACCAUCCCUGUCGUUCCUGCCAACCACCACAGUGUUUCCAGUGUGUGCUUCCUGCUCCCCAAAGGCCAUGCCAAACAAGGGACAGAACAGAAGGCCUAAAGGCUUCAUGGCGGAUAAGAAACCAAGUCAGGAACGUAUGAAGCCAACUGUGAAGGAAAAAGAGAAGGAGCAGAAGGAACAAAAGCCAAAAGAUAAAGAUAAGAAAUAGUUGAAAGGCAGCCCCUUCAAGGUGUGCAUGUGGUUGCUGCCGCCACAGUUUCAGUUCCUGCACAAGUUUAUGUCCACAAAUCAUGCUACACUUUCUCCCCCACAUGCAGUGCCCAUCACUCCUUUGCCUCUUCAUUCACCAACAGCAGCAGCAGUAACAGCACCAACAACAACUUUAGUUAUAGGCCACAAGAAUGAAAAGGGGCAGGACUAGUCAUUCUUUUCUCUCUCUUUCUCUCAGAUUAUCCAUUACAGUUUGAGAAGUCAACUUUUACUCACAUUGUUGAUAAAAGUAUUAUUAUUUUAUGUUAUUAAUGUUAUUAUUAUUUAUUAUUAUUAUUAUCAUUAUUAUUAUUAUUAAUAUUAUUAUUAUUAUUAUUAUUAUUAUUAUUAUUAUUAUUAUUAUUAUUAUUAUUAUUAUUAUUAUUAUUAUUAUCAUCAAUAUCACUAAUACUAUUUACAGCUGAAAGAGGAAGGCUUGAAUGCUGUUUUUCCAAAGGAAAUCAAUUAAAAAAUGUUGUUGACAGAGCAUGUAUUUUAGGCAGAGAGAAUAAGAUUUUUUUGACACCAAGCCACCUGCUACAUUCAUUAUAUGCUAAUGGAUUUUCUCACUUUACGAGUUUCUCUAGUCAACCAGUAUAUUACCAGUAUACUGUGCUUUUUGCUUUAGCAUAUAGAGCCUAUAUUUAUUACAGUACUACUCUUGAGGGACUUCAACAAUGAUAUAAAGAUAAUGUAUUCUAAUUGAAUCAAAAUAAUGGUCAUAGUAAUACAAGUCUAGUUCUAGUUUUGUACGAAGACUGGAAAUCUUGUAAGCUGUAUAGUACAAAAUUCACAUCGUCUUUAUUAUCUCAUAAGUCUUUUAAAUUUACGUCCACCUAGAAAUAGUACUGUGUGAAUUACUUAAUCAGAUCAACUUGUAAUAUAUUGUUUUUAUCAAAUAUUGCAUUAACUGCCUUUAAAAAUUGUUUUGAUAUUAAAGGCACUAAUAUUUUAUUGUUCAUUCUGUGUGUGUGUGUGUGUGUGUGUGUGUGUGUGUGUGUGUGUGUGUGUGUGUGUGUGUGUGUUAAUGUAUCUGCAUGUAUGUAUAUGCAUGUUCAUCAUGUUGUAAUGCUAAUACUGAUACAUGUCUCAUUGUAUAGAAAUUACAUAGAGGAGGAAGACCCGAGAGAGGGAUCCCAGUCCCCUCAGACUGUCUCUUCCAUUCACCUCCUGUGACUCAAGGAAUACAGAGGUUCAUAUUCUGUCCCUCAUAACUCAAGGCUGAAAAUAUGUUUAGCAACCCAGGCUGACUGUACUGUAAAGUAAUAUAAAAUACAGUGUGGUGGGUAAUGAGAUCAUUACAUCUCUAUGUUUUCUCUUAGUUACCCCUUUUGUAAGGAAUAUUAGCUUGCUUGAUUAUUACUUUUAUGAUCACUAUACCAUAAAUUUGAGUCCUGAGCCAGGACCAUCCUGCUCACCAGUUAAGUGUAUAAGCAUGCAAUGUAAACCAUGGAGAUCUUUCAACCUGGCAAGAGUGGUAGAUUAGCAAUCCUACCUUCCUUGAGUGUGGGUGUGUUUGCAUGGCACAAGAGCCCAAGAAGUAGUCUUUGCCAUACUCUAAGAAACAAACAAAGCAUUUUUUAUAAAAAAAAUAUAAAUUAUUAUUAUUAUCAUUAUAUUGGAUAUCCCAUUGAGUGUAAUAGACACCUAACUAUCCUUCUGGAUGAGGAAGGCAUUUGCACAUGCCAUGUCAGUUUGUUAUUUCAUUGUCACUUGGUAUGUAGAAGCAGCUUGACUGCACACUCCAUGACCAGGCUGGAAGAAAAUUGUCUGUAUGUUCCCUACAUAUAUAAAAAGUUGAAUGAAAGGAACAGAGCAAGGGGACUAAGAAUCCCUUCCUCUGUAUUUUAUUUUGACAAUGGGACAAAAAAUGGUGUCUUGCAUGCCCUCCUUUAAUGUAAACUUAAACCUUGUGCCAUGGGAGAAUGCUCCCAAGUGCCACUCCCAUGAAAAUCCUGUUUUUGCAUGCCUGCAAUAUCUCAAAACAUCUCCUACCAUGUGGGGUCAUUUGGAGCAAUAUCCUGCUGAGACAAAAUGGUCAGAAAUUCUUUACAGUAUACAGUAUUACUUUCCUUACUUGAUCCAGGAAUAUAGGAGCCUCUCCUCUGUGGUAAAAUAUUCCAGGCAUCUUGAGUCAUCACAGCUGUCCACAUUACACUAGCCUCAUGGAUCACCAUUUUGUGCUGGGUUUAUAGUUAUUAAUUAUUAGUGCUAUAACUAUGUCUAGAAUCUUGUUAUAUUGUAUCUCUUGCUAUUUGCUAACAUUAUUUUCAUGCUAACUGCUCUCCUGAUCUUGCUAACUGCAUGCCUCCCUUCCUCCUGCAGCCUCACUGCACAAGACUUUCUUCUUUCUCUUAUCCUUAUUCUAUCCACCAGUAUUCUCAAUCAUUCAUCCCUUUAUCUAGUAAAAUCUGGAACUCCUUUCUUCCUCCUGUAUUUCCUUCCUAUGACUUGAACUCUUUCAAGAGGGAGGUUUCAAGACAAUUAUCCUUUUUUUUUUUUUUUUUUUUUAUCAUAUUAUCUGAUAUUUCUUUGGGAACUGGCAUUUAAGUGGAACUUUUUUUUAAUUCAAAUUUUUUUUUGUCCUUGGCCACUGCCCUUCUUACAUGAAAAAUAGAAAAAAAAAUACAGGAAAAAAACUAGCUUUAUCUCUUCACAUACAUGAUGUGCUUUGAACGUUGAUAACUAUUAACUAGUUUUAUUGAUUUAAAUCUUCUUUGUGUCUGUAGGAAGCUGAUACCAUAAGGAUUAAUUUGGUAUGUGUUCCACAAAAAAAAAAAAUCAUAUGGUUGAAACUUGUGAUAUAUGAAUUUUAAUAUUGGCAAACUUUAGGAGCAAUUUCUGGUGUUUUUUUUUUUUUUUUUUUUUUGGGGGGGGGGCAGGGCCUUGGAUCAUUCUCCCAUGGCACUUCUCACAUCUAUGUACAUGUCUUAUUAUUGAUUAUUAUUAUUAUUAUUAUUAUUAUUAUUAUUAUUAUUAUUAUUAUUGUUAUUAUUAUUAUUAUUGUUAUUAUUAUUAUUAUUGUUAUUAUUAUUAUUAUUAUUAUUAUUAUUAUUAUUAUUAUUAUUAGUCUUAUUGAUUAUUAUUAUUAUUAUUAUUAUUAUUAUUAUUAUUAUUAUUAUUAUUAUUAUUAUUAUUAUUAUUACUAUUACUAUUAUUAUUAUUAUUAUUAUUAUUAUUAUUAUUAUUAUUAUUAUUAUUAUUAUUACUACUACUACUACUACUACUACUACUACUACUACUACUACUACUACUACUACUACUACUUCUACUACUACUACUACUACUACUACUACUACUACUACUAAUAAUAAUAAUAAUAAUAAUAUAAUUUUUAAUAUUUUUAUUAUUUUUGUACUGUUUGUAAUAUUAAAAUAAUUUGCCGUCAUAUGGUGAGGAAAGCAGGUUUUAGUUGCAAAAGGGUACUGGGAACAUCUUCAGUGUGCUUUGAUUUUUGCAAUGACAAGAUAUUAUGUCUUAUUUGAGUUAUUUCCCUUGUGGGGGAAGAUAGCCUGAUUUUAUAUAUAUAUAUAUAUAUAUAUAUAUAUAUAUAUAUAUAUAUAUAUAUAUAUAUAUAUAUAUAUAUAUAUAUAUAUAUAUAUAUAUAAUUUAUUUGUUUAUUGUUAUUGUUUAUACAUACUUAUAAAGAUUUAUUCUAUCAGUUAUAGUGUGACACACAUUUGCCUUUUUCAUUGUUAUCUUUAGUCACUUAUUUGAAGAGGCAGCCUCCCAAUUAGGAGAAAUAAGUAAGCCAGCCCUCCACAGAAACUAAAGGAGAUGCACAGUGCCCUAAAAUUCUAGUGUCCCAUGUUUCAUAAUCAUUCCUAGUCAUAUGUAUCUUUAUUCUUGUGUGGGGGGGAACACUGCAGAUAGGCCUAAUUUGUAUUUGGAUUUUUUUUUUAAGAUAUAUUUUUAUCUAAUAUUUGUAAGCCAUUGAAAUUCCUAUAUAAUAUUCAAUAUUCAUAAGUGUAAGCGUGAUGUUUGUUAUAAUUACUGCAGUCUUCACAUGGUAUAACUUUUCUGUCCAAUAUUUGUACAUGUUUGAAAGGUGGAGCUUCCUUUUGUCACCACCAUUCCUUCAUUUUACUGUGAUGAAAAGAUUAAGAUCAUGAAUCUUUCAGAUAUAUUUUGUUUAAAUGACAUCAGGUGAAAAUAAGAUUAGUCCCAAUUUUCUACUUGUAAGAAUGAGAAAAGUAGACCUCAUAUAUUCAACUUAUAUUUUUGUACAAAGUAUGAAGCUCUGCUAGUCACAUGUAAGCCCUCUUGAGCAUAGAUGCAAGAAACAGACUUACCACCCUGUUCCUCACCAAAGAUAUGCAUUUUCUUUAAAUCAAUAAUAGGUCCUUUGUGGUAGCUGAUAUCUUCCAGAUAUGAGGGUUGGUCUUUUUCAUCAUACUAUUUGCUAUCUUUUGUAUUAUUUUAAUAACUUCUAUAUUCUACCUGAGAAUGGUGCUGGGUUGAGGACCUGCUCACUCUUAUCCAUUUUCCUUGUUCUUUAAGUGGUGAUUGGGAUUCGUAGGUGUAGCAUCAAUUAGCUUCUUAAAUGUGGCUGGGUUUCUUUAGAUGAGUGGAGACUGGUGCUAAGUUUAGCUCAACUGUAAAUGAGUCCAGUUAUGUGGAGCACUCAGAACUGCCACCUGAGUGGCACUCUUAGGGAUGUGUAUGAGUGUUUCCAUACUGUAUCUACUUUACAUAAAUCCCUAAUUUGUCUGGGCACUUCUGAGGCUUGUUGCAGGUAAUGGAGAAAUCCAUAGCAUUAUGCUCAUGAUGGACCUUGAUGUGCAUAGCUAUGGUGUUAGGUGACAGCUGGUGUGAAAACUAUUGGGUAUACUGAGGUGUCUCAUCCCAACCAACCAUUAAACAGCAGUUAUUGCUAAUAUAACAACAGCAUGAAUGCCUAGCCAUUUCAUAUAAUUUUAGGGUUUUCUGGGAUUCUUUUUGGCCAUAGUUGCCCCAGUAUAUUUUUUCAGCUAUUCUUUUGUGAGGUGGUUGGCUGCUGCUUCAUAGAAUACUAUUAUGUCCCACUGUGGGGGAGUUCUUAGGAACAGGUGUCAGAUAUAGAUAGGCAGGUAUAUGGUAGGCCUUUUUAUAUAGAUAAAGGAAAACUUUCAUUGUAGGAAUCUUGAUUACAGAAUUAAUCAUGGAGCUGAGGGUAAUGAACUAAUAUUUCAAUGGAUGUUUUCUUUAGUGAUUACAAUUUUGAGCUCCAACAUUUAACUCAUAAUACUAAUCAGUCAAUAUUAUUUUAGAAAAGCUUUCCAACAUCAGUAUGACACAAUUUGUUAAGUUUCAGUUUUGUCAAUAUCUUUUGUAAGCACUGAUUAUUGUUUGUAUAGAAAUACUAGACUGAAGUAGCCUUAUUUUAAAUAUUUUUUAUGAUUGAUUAUCAGUUUUUCUUUCCUGUCUAAAGUUAGUCUGUUUAAGGUCUGCCUGAACACAUGAGUGUUUUGAAAGAAUUGCAUAUUUGACACUGACAAAAAUGUAAUGCUAUAAAAAAUUGAAUUAUAGUUAUCAGUGGCUACUUGAAGCCGAUUCAAUUAAAUAAUUUUGUUAUACCUUAAAUAAUGAAUAGUUCAUGGUACAUGUCUUGCAGUGUUAGCUACUAAGUAAUGCAACAUUUUUGUUAUUAUUAUUUUUUUUUACCCCAAAACUACACAUGUGAAAACAGUAAUGAACAAGAUACAGCCCAUGAGUAAAAUAUUUGUGCCAAAUAUUUUCUAUCUGCCAUCAGAUCUUGUGACAAUACAUACAUAUGCACACACACACACACACACACACACACACACACACACACACACACACACACACACACACACACACACACACACACACACACACACACACACAUUCCGGAGAUGAGUAAGUCGACCUAUGAAGAGAGAUUUAAGAAUGUUGGAAAUUCCUACCCUUGAAAAUAGGAGAGAGAGAGAAAGGAGAUUUAAUAAACAUCUAUAGAAUGAUAAAUGGUAUGGAAAAUGUGAACAAAGAAUGUUUUAUAACUUUAGACACACAGAGUACAAGGGGACACAGUAAGAAGUUGAAGAAAGUUAACUGUAGAAGAGACAUCAAGAAGUAUAGUUUUCCUCAAUUGUGAAUAAAUGGAAUGAACUCAGUGAAGACGUUGUCAAUGCCAUAAUUGUCCAUGCCUUUUUAAGAUCAAACUGGAUAGAUAUAGAGACAGGAUACUAUGAGAUUACUCCCCUCCUGUAAACCACAACUAGGUAAAUACACACACACACACACACACACACACACACACACACACGGCUCAUAACUGAGGGGCCAGGGUUUGAUCCCCUGGGCAGACAGAGAUUACUUGGGUGUGUUUCCUUUCAUGUGUAGCUCCUGUUCACCUAGCAGUGAGUAGGUACGGGAUGUACGGUGUGUUAUGUGUGAGUGGUCUCAGUCCAACCCAAAGAUUGGUCAGUAUGAGCUCUUAGUUCUUUCCUUAGAGUGAUAGCUGGCUGUCUCAAGAGAGACCAGCAUCAGACUGUACAGUGAAUUAGAAUUACACACACACACACACACACACACACACACACACACUCAGCUCACAACCAAGAAGACCCAGGUUUGAAUCCCAGAUGCAGUGAGGCAAAUGGGCAGCAAGUAGGUAUGGGGUGUAACCUGAGGGGUUGUGACCUUGCUGUCCUGGUGUGUGGUGUGUCAGUGGUCUCAGCCCUACCCGAAGAUUGGUCACUAUGAGCUCUGAGCUUUUUCCUUAGGGGAAUGGCUGGCUGGAUGACCAGCAGACGACCGUAGAGGAAUCACACACACAUACACACACACGUAAGGAAGUUGGAGAGAGUUCAGAGAGCAGCAACAAAGAUGGUACUAAGUACCAGGGACUUGUCAUAUGAAGAGGGAUUGGCAAGUGUAGCUGCACCAGCAGGUCUUCAUUAGCUCUCAGGUGAUAUGUUUUACUGAUCACAUCCAUCAUUGUAGGGUUGAGGAAAGACAGUUCUCUCUCUCUUACAUUUAUUGAUGAGGUAGGCAUGACCAUAAGAACUGCAAACAAGUUCUUGGUCUCAAUUUCUUAUAAAAUAACAUUAUACACUGAUAUUAAACACUUUCAACAUAUUACAGUAUUCAUUAACAAUACAUGCAAUCAACUUGGCACUGUGACAAUCAGUUUUUACUACAAAAUUAAAGUAUUUACCUCGGUCACCUUCCUGCCUGUCUUUGAGCGUGACUUGGCCGUGAGUGACUCCCACAGGCAACCAGCGGGUUAACCACACUCUACUAACAAGUGAGCAUCAGCCUUGGUGCUUCAUAUAGCAUUGAGUACUGAUACUUACACAUAUUACACGUCUUCAUGUAAGUAGAAAAGUGUUGAACAUUUCACUUAUAAUUACCAAGGAAUAAUGAUGUGAGGUACAUACACUUUAUGUACAGUAACAGCAAGGUUACACCUACCAACAUUGAAAAAAAGAGAGAAAGGGGAGACUUGAUUGCAAUAUAUAAAGCUUAUGAAAAAGUGGAGGAGAUGGACCAGAGUGACCUAAUGGUUUGGGCUACACAAGAUACUAGAGGACAUGGAAAGAGGCUGAAGAAGAAUGCUUAUAGAAGAGAUGUCAAAAAGUAUAGUUUCCCAUAUAGAUGUAUUGAUGCUUGAAACAGUCUGGAUGAGGAGAUAGUAAAUGCAAGAAAUAUACAGGGAUCCAAGGCAAAGUUGGAUAUUAAAGGAUAUGGAGAUGGGAUCACAAGUAUUACUUUUUCCUAUAAAGCACAACUAAUACACACACACACACACACACACACACACACACACACACACACACACACACACACACACAUGCAUACAAUGUUAUUCCUCACCUAGUGGUCCAAAAUCUACAAUUGUGCUGAUCAUUUUUAGAACAAUUGCUUUAUAAAAAAAAAAAAAAAAGAUAAUCUUUAACUUGUCUAGAUAUGCAUUUUCAUGUAAACACUCUGAAGGCAGGAUAGACUGGUUAUGAGAGGAUUGCCAUGAGGGACUGAGCCCUUGACAUGGGCACUCAUAUUGAAAGUGAGUCCAUGUUACCUGUUGGGCUUAGGUGAUAAAGGCCUGGUGGACUUUCAACAGCCUUAACUCCCCUUGUCAUUAUCCACAGAUUAUAAAACUAUAUGAGACAGACAGAAAAA
Molecule: long non-coding RNA, 8517 nt
Organism: Scylla paramamosain (green mud crab)
Lineage: Eukaryota; Metazoa; Arthropoda; Malacostraca; Decapoda; Portunidae
Exons: 3
Source: RefSeq, a predicted model, not a curated record